This is a long non-coding RNA of Prosopis cineraria, 1103 nucleotides long. RefSeq lists it as uncharacterized. NCBI's taxonomy places the organism in Eukaryota, Viridiplantae, Streptophyta, Magnoliopsida, Fabales, Fabaceae. The record is from RefSeq and is a predicted model, not a curated record. The transcript is spliced from 2 exons.
AUGAGCUUGAAAGCAUAAGCCGUGAUUUUUUACAGGGAGAAAAUGAAGACAAGAAGAAGAUUAUCUCCUUUCGUGGCAGACCUUGUAGAAAUAUAGGAAUUGUGGCGGGUUGGGUAUUAAAAACUUGACAUACCAAAGUAAAUCUUUCAUUUGAAAACUUUGUUGGGCUUUGGUUACCAACCUUAAGACUUUAUGGGUUCAAGUUCUCAAAUCUAAAUACAAAUGUGGAGUUGGUGUCACACUUGAUAUCAAAAGAAGAAGUGGAGCAUUUAUAACUUGGAAAAGCAUUCUCAAGGUUUGGAACUCCUUUCAACAUAGUUUAGGAAAGUUUAUUGCUUCUGGGAGUCACAUUCUUUCUGGUUUGAUCGUUGGCUUCCCACCAAAACUCCUCUUAUUGACUUAGUGGAACAUGGCAAAGAGUUCAUAGAUAUUAAUGAAAGUGUAAGGGAUCAUGUCCUUUCUUCGGGAACUUGGGAUGUGUACAAAAUGAGACCCUUGCUUCUUAACCAUAUUGUGAACCUCAUUGAAUGGAAGAUAACAGAGAACUAGUUUGGUGAGCAAUAUGGAGACAAAAGAUCACAGAGAAGAUCAAAACUAUAUUCUAGUUGAUGGAGCAUGAUAGAGUUCAUACAAUCACACAACGUUUGUGGAGAGGUUUAAUAGAAGAUAUACCUUACCCCUUUAGAUGUAUGGCUUUGGAAGACACUAUCCACCUUUUUUGUGACUGUACUCCUACCAAGCAUUGGUGGAAUGAGUAUGUGCACCAAGAUAUGUUGGAUAUAUUUUUUUCUUUAGAUAAGAGGGACUGGUUAUCCUAGAAUAUGAAAGCUUGUGUGGGUAACUCAUCUACUAUGAUUGUGCCCUAGAACACUUUAUUUGCUUACAUUUGUUGGAAUAUUUGGAUAGAUGCAGGGUUCUCUUUCAAGGUUGUACCGAUGUGAUUUAGGAGGAUCCAUACUUCUUUUUAUUCAAUGUUGUUGCCGACGUUAAAUUGUCUAGUAAUUUUGACUUACUUCCUAGAGAUAGAAAUGUUGUGCUCUAAAAUCCUUUGAAUGAUGUUGCUAUCAUACUUGAAAUCGAUGACCCAAUCCUUAAGAAUGGCA